RNAcentral lists this ribosomal RNA (473 nucleotides) under uncultured bacterium. RNAcentral's name for it is "bacterial SSU rRNA". It matches the Rfam family "Bacterial small subunit ribosomal RNA", at positions 348 to 813 of the family's 1533-position model. The record is from RNAcentral.
GCAGCAGUAGGGAAUAUUGCACAAUGGACGAAAGUCUGAUCGAGCAAUACCGCGUGAGUGAAGAAGGCCUUCGGGUUGUAAAGCUCUUUUGUUAGGGAAGAACAACUAUCGGAGUAUCUCCCGGUGCUUUGACGGUACCUAACGAGUAAGCCCCGGCUAACUUCGUGCCAGCAGCCGCGGUAAUACGUAGGUGGCAAGCGUUAUUCGGAAUUAUUGGGCGUAAAGCGUGCGCAGGUGGUUCUUUAAGUCUGAUGUGAAAGCCCCGGGCUCAACCGGGGAAGGUCAUUGGAAACUGGGGAACUUGAGUGCAGUAGAGGAUAGUGGAAUUCCAGGUGUAGCGGUGAAAUGCGUAGAGAUGUGGAGGAACAUCCGUGGCGAAGGCGGCUACCUGGUCUGUAACUGACGCUGAGGCGCGAAAGCGUGGGGAGCAAACAGGAUUAGAUACCCUGGUAGUCCACGCCGUAAACGAUGCG